This 280-nucleotide ribosomal RNA is filed under the name Campylobacter fetus subsp. testudinum. RNAcentral describes it as "partial 23S ribosomal RNA". It matches the Rfam family "Bacterial large subunit ribosomal RNA", at positions 360 to 634 of the family's 2925-position model. Lineage: Bacteria; Pseudomonadati; Campylobacterota; Epsilonproteobacteria; Campylobacterales; Campylobacteraceae. The record is from RNAcentral.
GAGGGUGAUAGCCCCGUAUAUGAAAGUGCGUUUAUACUUAGCAGUAUCCUGAGUAGGGCGGGACACGUGAAAUCCUGUCUGAAGCUGGGGAGACCACUCUCCAACCCUAAAUACUACUACUAGACCGAUAGUGCACAAGUACCGUGAGGGAAAGGUGAAAAGAACUGAGGUGAUCAGAGUGAAAUAGAACCUGAAACCAUUUGCUUACAAUCAUUCAGAGCACGAUUCUUUAUGACGUGUGAUGGACUGCCUUUUGCAUAAUGAGCCUGCGAGUUGUGGU